RNAcentral lists this ribosomal RNA (279 nucleotides) under Triticum aestivum (bread wheat). RNAcentral describes it as "partial small subunit ribosomal RNA". The record is from RNAcentral. Lineage: Eukaryota; Viridiplantae; Streptophyta; Magnoliopsida; Poales; Poaceae.
AUGGCCCCCAACAGAGCUUCGGGAUCAUACAAUAUUCUAGUGGAGUUUUAUCAAGCCUGUUGGGAAAUAGUGAAAGGGGAUAUCAUGCUUCUAUUUAAACAUUUCCAUAAUGGGACGCUGGAUGUACAACGUCUCAAUUAUGAGGUGAUCACUCUUCUACCCAAAGUUUCUGGGCUGAUAAAAUUCAACAGUUUAGACCUAUCUGCCUCCUUAGAUGUGCAUAUAAACUUAUCACCAAAGCCAUGGAUCGUAGAGUUAAAAAAUAUGCUGACAAAUUAA